UUUUUUUUUUUUAGUAUAUCCUCACUAUUGUUCGUAGGUAUGCUUCCACUGAAAAAUAUAGGUCAUUGUCAGUUCAGAUUUCAUGGGGCAUCCUAUAUUUCGUUGGGUCAGACUGGCAACCCUACUGGCCUGGCAGCCAGCUCAAUGCCCUUGCUUAGAAAGGGCGGACCGUGACGGCUGCCUUGAAUUGGUGUGUUUGGGGCAAAUGUCUUCCUUUAACGUGCAGUUGAGUAAGUGGGUGCUGUUUUCUUCGUCUGACUCUGUUACAUCUCUGCACCGACACCAGCCCCCUGAGAGGUGAGCCUCACCCUGGGGAACCCCCAGACUCCCGUGUUUAACACCCUUCUGACCAGGAGGGCAGGGCCGGGGGCAUCUGUAGGAGAUGGCAAGGCAGCCAGGGUUGAGCACCCUCCUUUCUUCUGCACACAGCACCAGGGCCUUGCCGGAUCCCAAGAGGCCCAAUGCGGACCCCCACACCCAACCCAGAGGGAACGCAUUAUCUAGUCCGAUGCUCUUGCUUUUCAGACUAGGAAACCCAGUUCCAGAAAGAAGGCCACUUGCUAGGGUCAGUGGUGAGUGAUUUGUGAGCUGUGUUUAUUUAUUAUGUAUGUGUUUAUUGGGAUCAGUUUUUAAUAAUUUAGUUUAAUUGAAGAGUAAUAAACAAAUGACUGGCCCUGCACAUGCUUAAUUACCUCUGCUCUGGAGUGAGGCAAGCCUGAGUAUAAUAUAAAAGCUUGCAGGGGGUAAAAGCAUAUAUCAAAUCAAAGCUCUAUGAGAAACUAUGAAAAAUAUUUCCAAUUCGUGUCACAAAGGGCGAAUUUCCUAGACAUAGAAAGAGGGCUUAAAAAUCAAUAUAGACAUUUCUAUUUGAUAGACAUUUCUCCCAAAGGGUGUAUAAAUAGCUAAGGCUCUGGACCGUGCGGAAUCACUAGGGGCAUGCAAAUCAAAGCCACCAAGAGACGCACAUCACACCUACUAGAAUAGCUAUAAUUUAAAAAAUGGAAACUAACAAGUGUUGGAGGGGAUGCAGAGAAAUCCCACCUCAUACACUGCUGGUGAGAAUGUAGAAGAGUGCUGUUGGUUUGGAAAAUGGUUUGGCAAUUCCUCACAAGGGUAAAUAUAGAGUCACUGAAAGACCAAGCCAUCCACCCUGUGCCUCUAGCAGGGAAAUAAAAACACACGCCUACCCCAAAACUUGUCCUUGGCUAUUUAUAGCAGCAUUCUUUAUGACAGUCAAAAAGUGGAGGAGUUCUGCUGUGGCUCAGCAGAUUAAGAGCCCCACUCGUAUCCAUGAGGAUGCGGGUUUGAUCCCUGGCCUCACUCAGUGGGUUAAAGAUCCAGUCUGGUGGUGAGUUGUGGCGUAGGUUGCAGAUAUAGCUUGGAUCCUGCGUUGCUGUGGCUGUGGCAUAGCCCUGCUGCAGCAGUGGCUC
This 1430-nucleotide long non-coding RNA is filed under the name Sus scrofa (pig). Its description in RNAcentral is "lncRNA (ENSSSCG00015026199.1)". The record is from RNAcentral. Lineage: Eukaryota; Metazoa; Chordata; Mammalia; Artiodactyla; Suidae.